This 396-nucleotide ribosomal RNA is filed under the name Salmonella enterica subsp. enterica serovar Kentucky. Its description in RNAcentral is "bacterial LSU rRNA". It matches the Rfam family "Bacterial large subunit ribosomal RNA", at positions 1191 to 1575 of the family's 2925-position model. The record is from RNAcentral. Lineage: Bacteria; Pseudomonadati; Pseudomonadota; Gammaproteobacteria; Enterobacterales; Enterobacteriaceae.
ACGUCAAAGCGUAUACAAAGUCGAGUCGGUUUAAGGAUACGUUCGUUGGGUAGGGGAGCGUUCUGUAAGCCUGUGAAGGUGGCCUGUGAGGGUUGCUGGAGGUAUCAGAAGUGCGAAUGCUGACAUAAGUAACGAUAAAGCGGGUGAAAAGCCCGCUCGCCGGAAGACCAAGGGUUCCUGUCCAACGUUAAUCGGGGCAGGGUGAGUCGACCCCUAAGGCGAGGCCGAAAGGCGUAGUCGAUGGGAAACGGGUUAAUAUUCCCGUACUUGGUGUUACUGCGAAGGGGGGACGGAGAAGGCUAUGUUGGCCGGGCGACGGUUGUCCCGGUUUAAGCGUGUAGGUGUGUGUUCCAGGUAAAUCCGGUUCACUUUAACACUGAGGCGUGAUGACGAGGC